AGAGUUUGAUCCUGGCUCAGAUUGAACGCUGGNGGCAGGCCUAACACAUGCAAGUCGAGCGGUAGAGAGAAGCUUGCUUCUCUUGAGAGCGGCGGACGGGUGAGUAAUGCCUAGGAAUCUGCCUGGGUAGUGGGGGAUAACGUUCGGAAACGAACGCUAAUACCGCAUACGUCCUACGGGAGAAAGCAGGGGACCUUCGGGCCUUGCGCUAUCAGAUGAGCCUAGGUCGGAUUAGCUAGUUGGUGAGGUAAUGGCUCACCAAGGCUACGAUCCGUAACUGGUCUGAGAGGAUGAUCAGUCACACUGGAACUGAGACACGGUCCAGACUCCUACGGGAGGCAGCAGUGGGGAAUAUUGGACAAUGGGCGAAAGCCUGAUCCAGCCAUGGCCGCGUGUGUGAAGAAGGUCUUCGGAUUGUAAAGCACUUUAAGUUGGGAGGAAGGGCAGUUACCUAAUACGUAAUUGUNUUGACGUUACCGACAGAAUAAGCCACCGGCUANCUCUGUGNCCGGCAGGCCGCCGGUAAUACAGAGGGUGCANGCGUUAAUCGGAAUUACUGGGCGUAAAGCGCGCNUANGUGGUUUGUUAAGUNGAAUGUGAAAUCCCCGGGNCUCAACCUGGGGAACUGCNUCCCANUACUGGGNAGNCUAGAANUAUGGUAAGAGGGGUGGNGGGANUCUCCCUCNUUUNG
Molecule: ribosomal RNA, 691 nt
Filed under: uncultured bacterium
Lineage: Bacteria
Description: partial 16S ribosomal RNA
Rfam family: Bacterial small subunit ribosomal RNA
Source: RNAcentral